RNAcentral lists this ribosomal RNA (327 nucleotides) under uncultured eukaryote. RNAcentral describes it as "partial 18S ribosomal RNA". It matches the Rfam family "Eukaryotic small subunit ribosomal RNA", at positions 1470 to 1796 of the family's 1831-position model. The record is from RNAcentral.
CCCUUAGAUGUUCUGGGCCGCACACGCGCUACACUGAAGGAGGCAGCGUGUACUCCUGGAUCGAAAGGUUUGGGUAACCCGCGAAUCUCCUUCGUGCUAGGGAUUGAGGUUUGCAAUUAUCCUUCAUGAACGAGGAAUUCCCAGUAAGUGCAAGUCAUAAGCUUGCGCUGACUACGUCCCUGCCCUUUGUACACACCGCCCGUCGCUACUACCGAUUGAAUGAUUUAGUGAGGACUUCGGACUGGGACCGAUGCGGCUUUCGGGCUGCGUCGGUAUUCUGGAAAGAUGUCCAAACUGUAUCAUUUAGAGGAAGUAAAAGUCGUAACA